RNAcentral lists this ribosomal RNA (462 nucleotides) under uncultured Peptostreptococcaceae bacterium. RNAcentral describes it as "bacterial SSU rRNA". It matches the Rfam family "Bacterial small subunit ribosomal RNA", at positions 8 to 499 of the family's 1533-position model. The record is from RNAcentral. Lineage: Bacteria; Bacillati; Bacillota; Clostridia; Peptostreptococcales; Peptostreptococcaceae.
AGGCUUUGAUCCUGGCUCAGGAUGAACGCUGGCGGCGUGCCUAACACAUGCAAGUCGAGCGAUCUCUUCGGAGAGAGCGGCGGACGGGUGAGUAACGCGUGGGUAACCUGCCCUGUACACACGGAUAACAUACCGAAAGGUAUACUAAUACGGGAUAACAUACGGAAGUCGCAUGGCUUUUGUAUCAAAGCUCCGGCGGUACAGGAUGGACCCGCGUCUGAUUAGCUAGUUGGUAAGGUAAUGGCUUACCAAGGCAACGAUCAGUAGCCGACCUGAGAGGGUGAUCGGCCACACUGGAACUGAGACACGGUCCAGACUCCUACGGGAGGCAGCAGUGGGGAAUAUUGCACAAUGGGCGAAAGCCUGAUGCAGCAACGCCGCGUGAGCGAUGAAGGCCUUCGGGUCGUAAAGCUCUGUCCUCAAGGAAGAUAAUGACGGUACUUGAGGAGGAAGCCCCGGCUA